Mustela erminea (ermine) is the source of this 1074-nucleotide long non-coding RNA. RefSeq lists it as uncharacterized. Lineage: Eukaryota; Metazoa; Chordata; Mammalia; Carnivora; Mustelidae. The record is from RefSeq and is a predicted model, not a curated record. The transcript is spliced from 5 exons.
ACUCUCGACAGGCUUGUCCACUGGAGCGUGGGAAGGCUGCCUCCCCACACAAUUCUCCACGAUGACUGUGGGGAUGGUACAGUGGUGAACCAAGCAUCACUAAGACGGAAGAGGUGAUUAGGGAGGAGCUUUCUUGGCCACCCAGCUGGAUCUCUGCACCCUGCUGACCCCAGGCCCUGUGCUCAGCCUGAGGUCCCACUCUGCGGUGGUCUGUAGGAGGUAGCUGGGAUCACACAGCAUUGGAAACCUCCUAGCUUUACAGCUGUCCCAGGGCUCAGAGUGAAGAAGGAUGGAUGGGUGACAGCGAUCGAUGGGCCACUGGAUGGACAGUGACAGGUAAAAAGGUCAAAGUCUGACAUCACCAAGUGUUGGCAAGGAUGUGGAGCAACCAGAAUUCCCAUACCCUGCCGGUGGGAAUGUAAAUUGGAACGACAAGUUGGGAAAAUGCCUUGGCCUUAUCUCAUAGAUGUGAAGGUGCCCAGUCCCUGUACUAAGUGAUUCCCCAUCAGCAUAUGUUCCCAGAGAAACGCUCACACAUGACAAAGGAGUGGACGCAGCUGCCUCUACUCUGUUUAGAAUGGAACACAGGAGGAUGGGUAAAUGCACUGCGUUAUCUUUAAUAGCGUCACAGCCAUGAAAAAUGAAUGGACCAGAACGUCAUGUAUUCAUGUGAAAGAAUGUCAGCAACGUGCCAGCAAAUAACAAAAAAGGAUCUCUGAAGGGGUUUUGAAGGAUGAAGAGGAGCUCUCCAGGCAGGUCUGAAGGGAGAACAUCUCAGGGAGAGAGACCAAUCAGAAACAAGGCAGAGAAAAGAAAACAGGAGUUUGUCAUGAUUAUUCUUUAUGUCAAAACAGCAACACAUGGUCUCAGCAUGUUAAAAUAAUAGCACAAGUGUCUAAACUGAAAAGUACCUCCCCUUGCCCCACCCCCCACCUGCCACUGCCCCUGAAUGAUCAUACUUCUCCAAACUAACAACUAUUCUUCACUGGGUAUGUAUCUUCCCUGAUUAUUUUCUGUAUCUACACAAAUACUUUUAUUUUAUUUAUUUUUUUAAAGAUUUUUAUUUAUUUGACA